UGGUAUUUCGGAUGUUCAAUGGUAUUCCCCAUCGACCUACUACUUUCACCAACAACUACAUUAUGAAAUACACCAUCAGUACCAUCAAUCUCUCCAUGACUAGUCCACACAAAAUAAUUAUCUAUAAACCCUUUUUGAUAAAGAUGAAUCUUAACAUCUGCCGGUUCAAAAUAAUGCAAACACUUGCACUUUACACAAGGACACCUAAUCAACCG
Molecule: long non-coding RNA, 215 nt
Filed under: Nicotiana benthamiana
Lineage: Eukaryota; Viridiplantae; Streptophyta; Magnoliopsida; Solanales; Solanaceae
Description: long non-coding RNA (NBEN_LNC008793)
Source: RNAcentral